Molecule: ribosomal RNA, 459 nt
Filed under: uncultured bacterium
Lineage: Bacteria
Description: partial 16S ribosomal RNA
Rfam family: Bacterial small subunit ribosomal RNA
Source: RNAcentral
CCUACGGGAGGCAGCAGUGAGGAAUAUUGGUCAAUGGGAGAGAUCCUGAACCAGCCAAGCCGCGUGAGGGAAGACGGCCCUAUGGGUUGUAAACCUCUUCUGUCGGAGAACAAAACCCGGGACGUGUCCCGUACUGCGUGUAUCCGAAGAAAAAGCAUCGGCUAACUCCGUGCCAGCAGCCGCGGUAAGACGGAGGAUGCGAACUUUAUCCGGAUUUAUUGGGUUUAACGGGUGCGUAGGCGGUCCGUUAAGUCAGCGGUAAGAGUGCGGGGCUCAACCCCGUCGAGCCGUUGAAACUGGCAGACUUGAGUUGGCGAGAAGUACGCGGAAUGCGCGGUGUAGCGGUGAAAUGCAUAGAUAUCGCGCAGAACUCCGAUUGCGAAGGCAGCGUACCGGCGCCAGACUGACGCUGAGGCACGAAAGCGUGGGGAUCGAACAGGAUUAGAUACCCGUGUAGUC